AAACAGGUUUCACUUGAAACCGCAUCAAAUUACAAAAGUAAAAAUGU
This is a non-coding RNA of Canis lupus familiaris (dog), 47 nucleotides long. NCBI's taxonomy places the organism in Eukaryota, Metazoa, Chordata, Mammalia, Carnivora, Canidae. The record is from Rfam.